This is a non-coding RNA of Chrysemys picta bellii (western painted turtle), 272 nucleotides long. The record is from RefSeq and is a predicted model, not a curated record. Lineage: Eukaryota; Metazoa; Chordata; Testudines; Emydidae.
GUUUAUUUGUAGAUGUAAACGUGUCAUGAAGUAAAGUGAUUUUUUUUCCUCACUUUCUGGCAGGGUGGGCAAGGAGAUCGUGGUGAACCCGGUUAUCCAGGAGAUCCUGGCCUACAAGGCUCACAGGGUCUAAGAGGACCACAAGGGGUCAGAGGCCCUCCAGGACCACAAGGAAUACCAGGCCCUCAGGUUAAUCCAGGAGCACCAGGUGCAGCAGGCUCUCCUGGGAAUCCAGGGCCUAGAGGACCAAAGGUAAGCAUUUUAAGAAAUAC